This 22-nucleotide microRNA is filed under the name Alligator mississippiensis (American alligator). RNAcentral's name for it is "ami-miR-150-3p". Its record names the gene ami-miR-150-3p. The record is from miRBase by way of RNAcentral. Lineage: Eukaryota; Metazoa; Chordata; Crocodylia; Alligatoridae.
CUGGUACAGAGGAUGGAUGAGA